Molecule: ribosomal RNA, 486 nt
Filed under: uncultured bacterium
Lineage: Bacteria
Description: bacterial SSU rRNA
Rfam family: Bacterial small subunit ribosomal RNA
Source: RNAcentral
UGAACGCUGGCGGCGUGCCUAACACAUGCAAGUCGAACGGAGCUAUGAAGAAAGAUACUUCGGUAAAUGGAAGCAUAAGCUUAGUGGCGGACGGGUGAGUAACGCGUGGAGAACCUGCCCUGUACCGGGGGAUAACAGAGGGAAGCUUCUGCUAAUACCGCAUAAGCGCACGGCACCGCAUGGUGCAGUGUGAAAAAACUCCGGUGGUACAGGAUGGCUCCGCGUUGGAUUAGCUUGUGGCGGGCAACGGCCACCAAGGCGACGAUCCAUAGCCGGCCUGAGAGGGUGAACGGCCACAUUGGGACUGAGACACGGCCCAGACUCCUACGGGAGGCAGCAGUGGGGAAUAUUGCACAAUGGGGGGAACCCUGAUGCAGCGACGCCGCGUGAAGGAAGAAGUAUCUCGGUAUGUAAACUUCUAUCAGCAGGGAAGACAAUGACGGUACCUGCAUAAGAAGCCCCGGCUAACUACGUGCCAGCCGCUGC